Rhodamnia argentea is the source of this 184-nucleotide long non-coding RNA. RefSeq lists it as uncharacterized. The record is from RefSeq and is a predicted model, not a curated record. The transcript is spliced from 3 exons. Lineage: Eukaryota; Viridiplantae; Streptophyta; Magnoliopsida; Myrtales; Myrtaceae.
AGCCCAUUUCCGCUUGCAAGACAUCUCGAUCUCUCGACGUCAACAGCAGCUUGCAUCCUAUGACUUUGUUAUCAUGACCGCAAGGAAUGCCGACUGAUUUCAAGUCCAGCGGCUCCCACAAGUUGUCCAGUAUUAUGAGCACCUUCUUCUUCUUCUUCUUCCUCUCAUUCUUCUCCUCCUCUUU